This 900-nucleotide ribosomal RNA is filed under the name uncultured Bacillota bacterium. RNAcentral's name for it is "bacterial SSU rRNA". It matches the Rfam family "Bacterial small subunit ribosomal RNA", at positions 1 to 916 of the family's 1533-position model. Lineage: Bacteria; Bacillati; Bacillota. The record is from RNAcentral.
GGAUCCAGACUUUGAUCAUGGCUCAGGACGAACGCUGGCGGCGUGCCUAACACAUGCAAGUCGAACGGAGAUAAAGAUUUCGGUUUUUAUCUUAGUGGCGCACGGGUGAGUAACACGUGAAUAACCUGACCCAAAGAGGGGGAUAACACCUGGAAACAGGUGCUAAUACCGCAUAAGACCACAAUGUCGCAUGACGAAGGGGUCAAAGAAAAUCGCUUUGGGAGGGGUUCGCGUCCCAUUAGGUAGUAGGUGGGGUAACGGCCCACCUAGCCGACGAUGGGUAGCCGAGCUGAGAGGCUGAUCGGCCACACUGGAACUGAGACACGGUCCAGACUCCUACGGGAGGCAGCAGUGGGGAAUAUUGGGCAAUGGGCGCAAGCCUGACCCAGCAACGCCGCGUGAGGGAAGAAGGUUUUCGGAUUGUAAACCUCUGUCGCAGAAGACGAAGGAAGUGACGGUAUUCUGUGAGGAAGCCCCGGCUAACUACGUGCCAGCAGCCGCGGUAAUACGUAGGGGGCGAGCGUUGUCCGGAAUUACUGGGCGUAAAGGGAGCGUAGGCGGUCUGAUAAGUUGGAUGUGAAAUACCCGGGCUUAACUUGGGGGGUGCAUCCAAUACUGUUGGACUAGAGUACAGGAGAGGAAAGCGGAAUUCCUAGUGUAGCGGUGAAAUGCAUAGAUAUUAGGAGGAACAUCGGUGGCGAAGGCGGCUUUCUGGACUGCAACUGACGCUGAGGCUCGAAAGCGUGGGGAGCAAACAGGAUUAGAUACCCUGGUAGUCCACGCUGUAAACGAUGAAUACUAGGUGUAGGGGGUAUAAACUCCCUCUGUGCCGCAGCAAACGCAAUAAGUAUUCCGCCUGGGGAGUACGGCCGCAAGGUUGCAACUCAAAUGAAUUGACGG